This 1352-nucleotide ribosomal RNA is filed under the name uncultured bacterium. RNAcentral describes it as "bacterial SSU rRNA". It matches the Rfam family "Bacterial small subunit ribosomal RNA", at positions 28 to 1381 of the family's 1533-position model. The record is from RNAcentral.
GAUGAACGCUGGCGGCGUGCUUAACACAUGCAAGUCGAACGGAGUACCCCUGAAGGAGUUUUCGGACAACUGAUGGGACUACUUAGUGGCGGACGGGUGAGUAACGCGUGAGUAACCUGCCUUGGAGUGGGGAAUAACAGCUGGAAACAGCUGCUAAUACCGCAUAAUAUAUCUGUGUCGCAUGGCAGUGGAUAUCAAAGAUUUAUCGCUCUGAGAUGGACUCGCGUCUGAUUAGCUAGUUGGCGGGGUAACGGCCCACCAAGGCGACGAUCAGUAGCCGGACUGAGAGGUUGGCCGGCCACAUUGGGACUGAGACACGGCCCAGACUCCUACGGGAGGCAGCAGUGGGGAAUAUUGGGCAAUGGGCGCAAGCCUGACCCAGCAACGCCGCGUGAAGGAAGAAGGCUUUCGGGUUGUAAACUUCUUUUCUCAGGGACGAAGCAAGUGACGGUACCUGAGGAAUAAGCCACGGCUAACUACGUGCCAGCAGCCGCGGUAAUACGUAGGUGGCAAGCGUUAUCCGGAUUUACUGGGUAUAAAGGGCGUGUAGGCGGGACUGCAAGUCAGAUGUGAAAACCACGGGCUCAACCUGUGGCCUGCAUUUGAAACUGUAGUUCUUGAGUACUGGAGAGGCAGACGGAAUUCCUGGUGUAGCGGUGAAAUGCGUAGAUAUUAGGAGGAACACCAGUGGCGAAGGCGGUCUGCUGGACAGCAACUGACGCUGAGGCGCGAAAGCGUGGGGAGCAAACAGGAUUAGAUACCCUGGUAGUCCACGCUGUAAACGAUGGAUACUAGGUGUGGGGGGACUGACCCCCUCCGUGCCGCAGUUAACACAAUAAGUAUCCCACCUGGGGAGUACGAUCGCAAGGUUGAAACUCAAAGGAAUUGACGGGGGCCCGCACAAGCGGUGGAGUAUGUGGUUUAAUUCGAAGCAACGCGAAGAACCUUACCAGGGCUUGACAUCCCGGUGACCGCUGUAGAGAUACAGUUUUCCCUUCGGGGACACUGGUGACAGGUGGUGCAUGGUUGUCGUCAGCUCGUGUCGUGAGAUGUUGGGUUAAGUCCCGCAACGAGCGCAACCCUUAUUGUUAGUUGCUACGCAAGAGCACUCUAGCGAGACUGCCGUUGACAAAACGGAGGAAGGUGGGGACGACGUCAAAUCAUCAUGCCCCUUAUGUCCUGGGCCACACACGUACUACAAUGGUGGUCAACAGAGGGAAGCAAUACCGCGAGGUGGAGCAAAUCCCUAAAAGCCAUCCCAGUUCGGAUCGCAGGCUGCAACCCGCCUGCGUGAAGUUGGAAUCGCUAGUAAUCGCGGAUCAGCAUGCCGCGGUGAAUACGUUCCCGGGCCU